GUACACUCCUACGGGAGGCAGCAGUGGGGAAUAUUGGACAAUGGGCGCAAGCCUGAUCCAGCCAUGCCGCGUGAGUGAUGAAGGCCCUAGGGUUGUAAAGCUCUUUCACCGGUGAAGAUAAUGACGGUAACCGGAGAAGAAGCCCCGGCUAACUUCGUGCCAGCAGCCGCGGUAAUACGAAGGGGGCUAGCGUUGUUCGGAUUUACUGGGCGUAAAGCGCACGUAGGCGGACUAUUAAGUCAGGGGUGAAAUCCCGGGGCUCAACCCCGGAACUGCCUUUGAUACUGGUAGUCUUGAGUUCGAGAGAGGUGAGUGGAAUUCCGAGUGUAGAGGUGAAAUUCGUAGAUAUUCGGAGGAACACCGGUGGCGAAGGCGGCUCACUGGCUCGAUACUGACGCUGAGGUGCGAAAGCGUGGGGAGCAAACAGGAUUAGAAACCCCGGUAGUCCCAUGA
This 453-nucleotide ribosomal RNA is filed under the name uncultured organism. Its description in RNAcentral is "partial 16S ribosomal RNA". It matches the Rfam family "Bacterial small subunit ribosomal RNA", at positions 331 to 800 of the family's 1533-position model. The record is from RNAcentral.